AUCAGUUUCUAAUUGUGACUGUUUCUAUUAAUUGUCACACACACACACACACACACACACACACACACACACACACACACACACACACACACACACACACACACACACACACACACACACACACACACACACACACACACACACACACACACACAGAGCUAGUGUUGAAAGAGGAAGUGUGACAGAUAUCCCUUCCUCUUCUCCUCCUCACACUAAAUAUGUUCACAUUUAAACUAGUUCUGCUGACAGGCUUGACACACUCCUCUCAGAGGUUGGAUGAUAACAGCUCACACUGCAACGUGCACAAGUUCGCUUGGAUUAAAAACAAAAAACAAUCCUGAGAGGUGCUGACUGUGUCCACUCACACAUAUGGAAGCUGUGAUAGGACUUCUGCUUGUGUUGCUCCAAGUUUCAUUUGGUGUGGAAAAUCACUGUGAUGGCAGACAGAAUAACGCUCAGUGUUAUGCAGCUUUGGAUGGAUCUAUAUUCAUCAGGCUGAUGGACAGCGCUGUAGAAAAUCAUAUAUACAUGUGGUUUAAAUAUACAAGUAAAUUAUUGGUAGUGAAUAAUAAACGUGUUAUAAUGAAUACUUUAGAGAAGAGAGCAGAUUUUACUACACAAAAUGGUAUUUAUAGAAUAAAUCAACUAAAGUCGAGUGACAGUGGCCAGUAUCGACUUGAAUAUUUUGUAGAUGGGGGAAAAAAAGAAGAACGGAAACUAAAUUUGUCUGUUCAAGCUCCAGUAUCUUCUGUCCAGCUCGUCCCUACAUGUCUUUCUAUGGGGGAGAAGAAAGUUUCCUGCUCCUCUAAAGGGGACAGUCUUCUCUACAGCUGGACUCUGGAUGGACGCCCUCUAACAGACUCUGACCUCGUCCCAAAGGGCAACAACACCAACAAUGUCCACCUGAAACUACAAACUAUAGGAAAACUGGUCUGUCAUGUCCAAAACAAAGUCAGCAAAAGCUCUGGUGAAGUGACGUUAACCACUUGUGGUUACAUCUUCAUAAACUGCACUUUGUCCAAUGGGACAGACAUAUUGCAGUGGGUGGUUGAGGACACUAACACGUUGUGUGUUGACCCAACAACAGCCCCUAUGGGUAAGGAGCCUCCCAUUGAUUCAGGGACUGUGGCUCUGAUUGGGAUUUCACUCUCUGCUCUGGUCUGUAUCCUCCUUUUGGCUUUAGUCGUGAUCUGUGUUCAGAAGAAAAAGCCAAACAAACCAAAAGAACCACAGGAUGACCAGGAAUUAACCUACGCGGCUGUCAAAGUGGUUCAGAGGCCAGGGACGCUAGAGGUGCACAGGUCAGAGGUGGAGGUGGAGUACGGCGAAGUCAAGUUUUCACAGCAACCUCGACAGAUUCAAGUACCGCCAGAUGACUGUGUGUAUGCCAGAGUCUAUAAAUGAAAACAGGGCGUGGCUCUUUUUAUCACAGACAGAGGGCACGACAUGAUCUCAGGUUGCUUGAAGGGCUUCCCUGUUUAAUGAUGAAAAAUCUGGGUGUCACCGUUGAGAGGACUCCAAACCCACAUCAAUAAUACUUUUUACCCCCUCUACCACUGCCAUUCUUGUACAUACUCUUGUCAAUCACUGAAACUCCUGAAACGCCAAUGUCCAGAAUUAGAGUUACCUGCUCCACUGAUGUUCUUUAAAAAUUUGCAUCAACUACAAAAUCCUCCUUCUGACAUUUAAGGUCAUCUUAAGGUCAUCUUCAAUGUCACCCCUCUAUAUCAGUCCAGACUGACCCACACCAUCAGCUCACUAAUGUUAUUCAAAAUGAAGCUAAAAACCCAUCUGUUCAGGAUGGCCUUUCUCUCUGGGAUCACAACUGCUGUAUCUAAUCUUGAUAUGUUGAAUGUAAUGUUCUUGCACUGCCUUUUCACAAUAAUUUUAUUGUAAACAUUCCAUGUAUAGUGACCCUAAGUGCUAGAAAGAAGCCUUUUAUGAAAAUAAUGACAAUAAUAAUGUAAUGAAAAGGAUGUGAAUAUUGUUUUUGUUUGUAUUCCUUAAUAAUUGUUUUUGGUUUAAUUUAAACCACACCCAUGGGAGGGGCUAACCUGUUAAAAGCAGUGUAGGAAACUGCAUAGAGGGCAGUCUUUCUCUGGAGGUGCAUGUGGGAGCAAUGUACCUGAGCAUUUCUGAAAGCCUCUCAGCUGAAAGUAGAGCUGGGACCAGGUUGUGUUUUUUUUUUUUUUCUCUUGAUGUAAAUAUUUGUGUUCCACUGUAAAUAUUGAGCACCGGCACCAUUUUUGGAAAAAUAAAUGAAAGUCGACUUGCCA
Gouania willdenowi (blunt-snouted clingfish) is the source of this 2276-nucleotide long non-coding RNA. NCBI's taxonomy places the organism in Eukaryota, Metazoa, Chordata, Actinopteri, Blenniiformes, Gobiesocidae. The record is from Ensembl.